GACCACGUAGCUCAGUUGGAAGAGCAUUGGGCUGGUAUUCCAAAGGUCGUAGGUUCGAAUCCCACCUUGGCCG
This 73-nucleotide transfer RNA is filed under the name Paramuricea clavata. It matches the Rfam family "tRNA". Rfam says of the family: Transfer RNA (tRNA) molecules are approximately 80 nucleotides in length. The record is from Rfam by way of RNAcentral. Lineage: Eukaryota; Metazoa; Cnidaria; Anthozoa; Malacalcyonacea; Plexauridae.